This 460-nucleotide ribosomal RNA is filed under the name uncultured bacterium. RNAcentral's name for it is "partial 16S ribosomal RNA". It matches the Rfam family "Bacterial small subunit ribosomal RNA", at positions 338 to 795 of the family's 1533-position model. The record is from RNAcentral.
CCUACGGGUGGCAGCAGUGAGGAAUAUAGGUCAAUGGACGAGAGUCUGAACCAGCCAAGUAGCGUGAAGGAUGACUGCCCUAUGGGUUGUAAACUUCUUUUAUAUGGGAAUAAAACGUUCCACGUGUGGGAUUUUGUAUGUACCAUAUGAAUAAGGAUCGGCUAACUCCGUGCCAGCAGCCGCGGUAAUACGGAGGAUCCGAGCGUUAUCCGGAUUUAUUGGGUUUAAAGGGAGCGUAGGUGGAUUGUUAAGUCAGUUGUGAAAGUUUGCGGCUCAACCGUAAAAUUGCAGUUGAAACUGGCAGUCUUGAGUACAGUAGAGGUGGGCGGAAUUCGUGGUGUAGCGGUGAAAUGCUUAGAUAUCACGAAGAACUCCGAUUGCGAAGGCAGUUCACUGGACUGCAACUGACACUGAGGCUCGAAAGUGUGGGUAUCAAACAGGAUUAGAUACCCCUGUAGUC